GAUGAACGCUAGCUACAGGCUUAACACAUGCAAGUCGAGGGGAAACGAUGAGAGAGCUUGCUCCCUUAGUCGUCGACCGGCGCACGGGUGAGUAACGCGUAUCCAACCUGCCUCUGACCAAGGGAUAACCCGUCGAAAGUCGGACUAAUACCUUAUGCAGUCGUCGGAAGUCAUCUGAUGACGACGAAAGAUUUCAUCGGUGAGAGAUGGGGAUGCGUCUGAUUAGCUUGUUGGCGGGGUAACGGCCCACCAAGGCGACGAUCAGUAGGGGUUCUGAGAGGAAGGUCCCCCACAUUGGAACUGAGACACGGUCCAAACUCCUACGGGAGGCAGCAGUGAGGAAUAUUGGUCAAUGGGCGUAAGCCUGAACCAGCCAAGUAGCGUGCAGGAUGACGGCCCUAUGGGUUGUAAUCUGCUUUUAGGCGGGGAUAAAGUGAGGGACGUGUCCUUCAUUGCAGGUACCGCAUGAAUAAGGACCGGCUAAUUCCGUG
Molecule: ribosomal RNA, 491 nt
Filed under: uncultured bacterium
Lineage: Bacteria
Description: partial 16S ribosomal RNA
Rfam family: Bacterial small subunit ribosomal RNA
Source: RNAcentral